UACGGAGGGGGCGAGCGUUAUUCGGAAUCAUUGGGCGUAAAGGGCGCGUAGGCGGCUUCAUAAGUCUUGGGUGAAAGCGCUCGGCUCAACCGAGGAAUUGCCUUGGAUACUGUGAAGCUCGAGGGUGGAAGAGGACAGUGGAAUUCCCGGUGUAGUGGUGAAAUGCGUAGAUAUCGGGAGGAACACCAGUGGCGAAGGCGGCUGUCUGGGCCAGUUCUGACGCUGAGGCGCGAAAGCGUGGGGAGCAAACAGG
RNAcentral lists this ribosomal RNA (253 nucleotides) under uncultured bacterium. Its description in RNAcentral is "partial 16S ribosomal RNA". It matches the Rfam family "Bacterial small subunit ribosomal RNA", at positions 524 to 776 of the family's 1533-position model. The record is from RNAcentral.